This 328-nucleotide long non-coding RNA is filed under the name Oryza brachyantha (malo sina). RNAcentral describes it as "long non-coding RNA (OBRA_LNC003316)". Lineage: Eukaryota; Viridiplantae; Streptophyta; Magnoliopsida; Poales; Poaceae. The record is from RNAcentral.
UCCCAUUGCUUGCUGCCUUUCCCAUUUCAUGAAAGCCACCUCAAACGUACCCUUUCAUAGUUUCAUCUCUCUCUCACACACACAUAUUCCCUUUCUCUCUCUAGGCAUUAUUCCUCUGAUUUCUUUUACUACUACUACCCCUUCCUUCUCUCUCUCUCUCUAACCUUAUUCCCCCAACAUGGACAAUGCCAAUGCUCUCUUUCUCUCUCUCAUCAGCCCUGCCUUUAUAGUAGCAUCAAGCUUUCUUUCAUUCUCUCUCUCUAUGUCUAGAGGCACUUCCUUUUCUCUCAUCUCUCUAGUUCUCUAGAACACACACAAACCCCCAUAC